Molecule: ribosomal RNA, 253 nt
Filed under: uncultured bacterium
Lineage: Bacteria
Description: partial 16S ribosomal RNA
Rfam family: Bacterial small subunit ribosomal RNA
Source: RNAcentral
UACGUAGGGUGCAAGCGUUGUCCGGAAUCAUUGGGCGUAAAGCGCGUGUAGGCGGCUUGGCAAGUCAGUUGUGAAAGCCCGGGGCCCAACCCCGGAAUUGCAUCUGAAACUGCCUGGCUAGAGUCCCGGAGAGGAAGGCAGAAUUCCCGGUGUAGGGGUGAAAUCCGUAGAUAUCGGGAGGAAUACCAGCGGCGAAGGCGGCCUUCUGGACGGUGACUGACGCUGAGACGCGAAAGCGUGGGGAGCAAACAGG